Acyrthosiphon pisum (pea aphid) is the source of this 852-nucleotide long non-coding RNA. RefSeq lists it as uncharacterized. NCBI's taxonomy places the organism in Eukaryota, Metazoa, Arthropoda, Insecta, Hemiptera, Aphididae. The transcript is spliced from 2 exons. The record is from RefSeq and is a predicted model, not a curated record.
AAAAAAAAAAGUUAGGUUAGGUUUCAUUGUUUCUCAUCCGACGUCGAGCACUCGAGCCCCUCGGGCUUCGGGUGCUCCGGCCUUUAUUUUCUUUGUCAAUGCUGGGAACGUGAAAACUCUUGUCUCGUACCUACUCUCUUAGUCAUGACUCAAGUCUCAAAGUCUUAAACUCAUAAAGCCGUAUCCGAUGGUGUGCCGAGUGAUGAACAAUAGUUAUUCUUUUACCCGAAAUAUUUCAUGCACACUACAGAAAAUGGCGAAACUCUCAUAAAAACUGAAUUCAUAAUGUAAUAUGAAUGUUUUUUUAUGAAUGAAAACAAUUAUAUGCCAUCAUUUACAUUUUGCAUCCACAACAUGAUAUUAUGUCCGGUUAAAAACAAGUCUUCUAAUGGAAAUAGUAACGUUAAAGCAUCAACUCAUACCAACUCAACACAAUGUGAUAUCAUAUCGUCUCCUAAAAAACAAUUAAGUUAGGUAAAAAAUAUUUUUUUCUAACUAUAUUGAAAACCAAUGCCAAUAUGUAAUCUGCAAUAAAUCAUUAUUAAAAACAACAAUUUUAAAUACAGUAAAAAAUAUUCCUAGUGUUAACCUUAUAAAUUAGAUACUUGCAAUAAAUCAUUUUCUCAAGCAUCAACUUUUAAUCAACACAAUAGUAUUUGUAACAAAUAUAACAUUUAUAUGGUUUUUCUCCAGUGUGAAUUUUUAUGUGAGCUUUGCUAGGUUAUCAAAACUCUCAUUAGAAAUCAUACGAUUCAUACUGAAGAUAAACCAUAAAAAUGGAUAUUUGCAAUAAAUCAUUUUCUCAAGCAUUAACUUUUAAUCAACACAAUAGUAUUUGUAACAAAUAUAACA